RNAcentral lists this transfer RNA (73 nucleotides) under Ornithorhynchus anatinus (platypus). It matches the Rfam family "tRNA". From Rfam's summary of the family: Transfer RNA (tRNA) molecules are approximately 80 nucleotides in length. Their secondary structure includes four short double-helical elements and three loops (D, anti-codon, and T loops). Lineage: Eukaryota; Metazoa; Chordata; Mammalia; Monotremata; Ornithorhynchidae. The record is from Rfam by way of RNAcentral.
AGCAAUGUGGCAUAGUGGAUAGAGCAUGUGAUUGGGCAUCAGAAAGUCAUGGGUUCUAAUCCCAGCUCUGCCA